UACGAAGGGGGCUAGCGUUGUUCGGAUUUACUGGGCGUAAAGCGCACGUAGGCGGAUUGGUCAGUUAGAGGUGAAAUCCCGAAGCUCAACUUCGGAACUGCCUUUAAUACUGCCAAUCUAGAGUCCGGAAGAGGUAAGUGGAACUCCUAGUGUAGAGGUGGAAUUCGUAGAUAUUAGGAAGAACACCAGUGGCGAAGGCGGCUUACUGGUCCGGUACUGACGCUGAGGUGCGAAAGCGUGGGGAGCAAACAGG
This 253-nucleotide ribosomal RNA is filed under the name uncultured bacterium. RNAcentral describes it as "partial 16S ribosomal RNA". It matches the Rfam family "Bacterial small subunit ribosomal RNA", at positions 524 to 776 of the family's 1533-position model. The record is from RNAcentral.